AGCGCAGUCCGUCUCAUCGCUGCGAGCUUGCCUCGCGGAGGAAAGUCCGGGCAACAAAGAGCGCCGUGCUACCUAACGGGUAGGCUUUGCAAACGCAAGGUUGCAGAGACAGAAAGUGUCACAGAAACUAUACCGCCGCGGGUGCAAACCUGUGGUAAGGGUGAAAAAGCGGGGUAAGGGCCCACUUGUUGUGCAGCAAUGUACGGCAGGACAAACCUCACGGGUUGAAAAAUCAAAUAUACCCGGCUCAAGGGCUGCUCGUCCGUCGCAACGGCUUGCCGUUGCCGCCG
Molecule: RNase P RNA, 290 nt
Filed under: Bacteroidota bacterium
Lineage: Bacteria; Pseudomonadati; Bacteroidota
Description: Bacteroidetes bacterium (grounwater metagenome) partial RNase P RNA component class A
Rfam family: Bacterial RNase P class A
About the family: Ribonuclease P (RNase P) is a ubiquitous endoribonuclease, found in archaea, bacteria and eukarya as well as chloroplasts and mitochondria. Its best characterised activity is the generation of mature 5'-ends of tRNAs by cleaving the 5'-leader elements of precursor-tRNAs.
Source: RNAcentral